AGCUGAAUGGAUCAUUUUCUUAUUUACUUUUUUGGCUUCUUUCUCUCUCUCAGAUAUUUCUUCAUUCAACUGAAAAAAGCUUCUAGGAUAAAAUCGAUAGGUUAACAUGGUAUCAAAGCAUUGAUCCUCUCAAUUUUGACGGCUAAAUCCUUCGAUUUUCCAUUCUACAGCUUCAAUCCAUGGCGUAGUGUUGCUCACACUCACUGUUUGGUCAACAACGACAAUUUUGACGAUUUUUUUUUUUUACGGUCUCAUGAAGUUUUCAGCAGUAUUUCAUUAAUUCCUCUUCAGCGAAGCUUUCCCUGGUGACGUCUGAGGUUUUCAUGGCACCAGACUUCAAAAGCCCCAAAUUUGGGUGCAGGUUUUUUUUGGAAACCCUAAUCUCCUACGAUUUCAUCUAUAUUCUCUUAAGUGUUGGUAUUGUGCGAUUGUGUGAAGCUUUACAUAUUCUGAAUUACGUGUUAGAUAGUCUCAUAGCUGUGGCAGACUUGUUUCGAUAGUUAAUUGAUACUACUCUCUAGUGAAGAUAGUUUUAUCUACUGAUUCGACUCCGUCAACUCAUAUUGACAACUCAACAACAAACACUAACUCUGUUGUGGACUCGUCCCAUCCUUUGUACGUCCAUCCUUCGGACAGUCUUUCAAUCGUGCUUGUACCAGUGUCCUUUUCAAGGACUGGGUACAUGUCUUGAGAAGACAUGUACUGAUUGCCUUCUCCGCUAAGAAUAAGGCUGGAUUGGUGAAUGGUAGAAUUUCCAAGCCUAAUCCCGACUCUCCUCUAUAUGACUAAUGGCUAAGAUGCAAUGAUAUGGUCUUUGCAAGGCUAAGCGAUUCCUUGUCUAAGGAUAUUGUUGAGAGUGUAUUACAUUGUGAGACUGCAGGGGAUGUCUGGUAUGACCUUGAAGAGAGAUAUGGUCAAUCCAAUGCUAGUAUAUAUUAUCAACUUCAAGAGAAAUUAUUGGGGCUUCACAGGGUUCAUUAGAUAUUGCUAGUUAUUACACUAGGUUAAGAAAAUUAUGGGAUGAAUUAAAAUCAACCUCUUUUGGUCCUCUAUGCACAUAUGGUGCUGAACCUAUGUGUAAUGAUGGACAAAAGUUGAUUCAGUUCCUAACUGGUUUGAAUGAGUCCUAUUCAAAUGUGGGAAGCAACAUACUUAUGAUGACUCCAGUUCCUAGUGUAGGAAAAGCUUAUUCCAUACUUCUCUAUGAUGAAAACCAGCGAGAACUCCAAUCAUCUCAUUCAUCUUUCAUGUCUGAUCACACUUUCUUCAAUGCGAAGGAAUAUACUUUGCCACCUUCUUCUCCAUCCCAUGCACUAACACCAACAAGUCCUACAAUUCAAGGGUGAAUUUCGACAAUAGAAAAUCCAAUGGAAUUUGUAAAUAUUGUCGAAAACCUGGUCAUUCUAUUGAACAAUGCUAUAGACUUCAUGGAUUCCCACCUGACUUCAAAUUCACUAAGAACAAAAAAUCAGCAGAUUGUGUGAAAGUUGAUGCAUGCAAAGAGGGUCCUCCAUCCACUUCAGAUUCUCUUCAUGGAUUCAGCAAUGAGCAACAUCAACAUAUUCUGGAAUUAAUCCAGCAAUCUCAGCUCAACACUGCACCUAUUUCCUCUACUGCAAUGGUUGCCUUUGCAGGACCCAUCUCUGAAGAGGCCCUUGGCAAUUGGUAGAGAGGCAAAUGAACUGGACUUGAGAUCACUUAUACACCUGCUGGUUACAUGGUUCAUCAAAAGAAGUAUGUCACUGAUUUGUUAUCUGAGUUCCAUUGUUCAGUUGUUGCACCUGUUCUCACUCUACUUGAUCCUCAUGUCAAAUUGCUUGUUGAUGGUGGUGAUCUUCUGUCCGACCCUUCUAUCUAUAGAAGGCUUAUUAGAAAGUUAAACUUUCUCCAACAUACCAGACCGGAUAUUUCAUUUGCAGUUCAACAUCUUAGUCAAUUUUUGGUUACACCAAGGGUGCCCCACAUGCUAGCUAGUAUUCACGUGCUACGUUAUUUGCUUAAUGAUCCGGCACAGAGAGUUUAUUGUCCAGCUCCCAUGAUUUUUCCCUUCAGGAUUAUGCUAAUUCGAAUUGGGUUGCUUGUCCCACUACUCGCAGGUCUGUUACUGGUUUCUUUGUCUUAUUGGGUGGUUCUCCUAUUUCUUGGAAGUCCAAGAAAUAGCCUACCAUUUCUUUUUCAUCUGUGGAGGCUGAGUAUCGUGCCCUCCGCAAUGUAGUUGCUGAAAUUGUAUGGUUGCUUCGCUUACUUGAUGAUUUGGGCAUACAUAUUUCUACCCCUGUGCCUAUAUUCUGUGAUAGUCAGGCUGCUCUCCAUAUUGCCUGCAAUCCUAUCUCUCAUGAAUGUAUGAAACACAUCAAAGUCGACUGUCAUUUUGUAUGUGAAGUUCUUCAUUCUGAAGCUAUCUCUUUACAACAUAUAUCUACUCAUCUUCAACUUGUUGUUCUGCUCACCAACGCUUUGACUGGUGUUCCACAUCAUCGUCUCCUUUGCAAGCUCGGUGUGUACUCACCCUCCAACUUGAGGGGGUGUUGGAGAUAUAGGCCUGGGUUGACUUGCAUUUUCAUAUAUUUGGGCCACAUGUUAUUGGGCCUUUCUUUAUCCAGGGACCCGGCCCUUUUCCGGUUAAUAUUUUCAUUAUGAAUGUAUAUAUAUAUAUGACUGUAAACACUUGGACAAAGCUGAAUGGAUUAUUUUCUUAUU
This is a long non-coding RNA of Capsicum annuum, 2700 nucleotides long. RefSeq lists it as uncharacterized. The record is from RefSeq and is a predicted model, not a curated record. NCBI's taxonomy places the organism in Eukaryota, Viridiplantae, Streptophyta, Magnoliopsida, Solanales, Solanaceae. The transcript is spliced from 3 exons.